UACGUAGGGGGCAAGCGUUGUCCGGAAUUAUUGGGCGUAAAGAGCGCGUAGGCGGCCCGGUAAGUCCGUUGUGAAAGUCCAAGGCUCAACCUUCGAAUGCCGAUGGAUACUGUCGGGCUAGAGUCCGGAAGAGGCGAGUGGAAUUCCUGGUGUAGCGGUGGAAUGCGCAGAUAUCAGGAGGAACACCGAUAGCGAAGGCAGCUCGCUGGGACGGUACUGACGCUAAGGCGCGAAAGCGUGGGGAGCGAACAGG
RNAcentral lists this ribosomal RNA (253 nucleotides) under uncultured bacterium. RNAcentral describes it as "partial 16S ribosomal RNA". It matches the Rfam family "Bacterial small subunit ribosomal RNA", at positions 524 to 776 of the family's 1533-position model. The record is from RNAcentral.